This 813-nucleotide ribosomal RNA is filed under the name Triticum aestivum (bread wheat). RNAcentral's name for it is "partial small subunit ribosomal RNA". Lineage: Eukaryota; Viridiplantae; Streptophyta; Magnoliopsida; Poales; Poaceae. The record is from RNAcentral.
AUGCCCACGCCGGUGCCCACGGCGAGGCAGUGCCUGUCGUCGGCGGCCGUCACGGCCCUGGAUGCCGCGGUCAUCUCCGCGCGCCGCAGGGUGCACGCGCAGACCACAUCGCUCCACCUCGUCGCCGUGCUGCUCGCGCAGCAGGCCCCGCCGCUCCUCCGCGACGCGCUCGUGCGGGCCCGCAGCACCGCCUACUCCCCGUGCGUGCAGCUCAAGGCGCUCGAGCUCUGCUUCGCCGUCUCCCUCGAUAGGCUCCCCUCCGCCUCCUCGUCAGCCUCGGGCGUCGACGAGCCCGUGUCCAACUCACUCAUGGCGGCCAUCAAGCGCUCGCAGGCCAACCAACAUCGCAACCCGGACACCUACCACUUCUACCACCAGGUCGCCUUCCAGGCCGCCACCGCCGCCUCGCAGGUCAGGGUCAAGCUCUCGCAGCUCCUGUUCACCAUCCUCAACGACCCCGUCGUCAGCCGCGUCUUCAACGAUGCAGGCUUCCACAGCACCGACAUCAAGCUCGCCAUCCUCCGUCCCGCACCGCCCAUGCCGCUGCUCGGCCGCCUCCCUACACGGGCCUGCUCGCCGCCUCUCUUCCUCGGCAGCUUCGCCGCCGCCGCCGACGCUGAUGUGCCCUCGCCCGCCGGGAGCAUCGCUGGAGGCGCCGGCAAGGAGAAUGGCCGUUGCAUCACCGAGAUCCUCGCCCAGGGCCGCAACCCCGUGCUCGUCGGUGUCGGGGCCGUGUCCGCCGCUGCAGACUUCGCCAAGGCCUCGCCAUACCGCGUCCUCCCCUUCUGUCCAAACUCCGUCGACCAAACAUAA